AUUGAACGCUGGCGGCAUGCCUUACACAUGCAAGUCGAACGGUAACGCGGGGCAACCUGGCGACGAGUGGCGAACGGGUGAGUAAAGCAUCGGAACGUGCCCAGUAGUGGGGGAUAGCCCGGCGAAAGCCGGAUUAAUACCGCAUACGACCUAAGGGCGAAAGGGGGGGAUCGCAAGACCUCUCGCUAUUGGAGCGGCCGAUGUCAGAUUAGACAGUUGGGGGGGUAAAAGCUCACCAAGGCGACGAUCUGUAGCUGGUCUGAGAGGACCACCAGCCGCACUGGGACUGAGACACUGCCCAGACUCCUACGUGAGGCAGCAGUGGGGAAUUUUGGACAAUGGACGAAAGUCUGAUCCAGCCAUGCCGCGUGCGGGAAGAAGGCCUUCGGGUUGUAAACCGCUUUUGUCAGGGAAGAAAUCCUUUGAGCUAAUACCUCGGGGGGAUGACGGUACCUGAAGAAUAAGCACCGGCUAACUACGUGCCAGCCGCCGCGGUAA
RNAcentral lists this ribosomal RNA (498 nucleotides) under uncultured bacterium. Its description in RNAcentral is "partial 16S ribosomal RNA". It matches the Rfam family "Bacterial small subunit ribosomal RNA", at positions 29 to 523 of the family's 1533-position model. The record is from RNAcentral.